This 301-nucleotide unclassified non-coding RNA is filed under the name uncultured Rachicladosporium. RNAcentral describes it as "sequence contains ITS1". The stretch from base 1 to 105 matches the Rfam family "5.8S ribosomal RNA", at positions 50 to 154 of the family's 154-position model. Lineage: Eukaryota; Fungi; Ascomycota; Dothideomycetes; Capnodiales. The record is from RNAcentral.
GAAAUGCGAUAAGUAAUGUGAAUUGCAGAAUUCAGUGAAUCAUCGAAUCUUUGAACGCACAUUGCGCCCCGUGGUAUUCCGCGGGGCAUGCCUGUUCGAGCGUCAUUACACCACUCAAGCCUCGCUUGGUAUUGGGCGACGCGGUACGCCGCGCGCCUCAAAUCUUUCGGCUGGGUCUGAAUCGUCCCUCAGCGUUGUGGAAACUAUUCGCUAAAGGGUUCGCUUUCGGUCACGCCGUUAAACAAAACCAUUUUCAUUAAAGGUUGACCUCGGAUCAGGUAGGGAUACCCGCUGAACUUAA